Long non-coding RNA from Phyllopteryx taeniolatus (common seadragon), 2475 nucleotides. RefSeq lists it as uncharacterized. The transcript has 7 exons. Lineage: Eukaryota; Metazoa; Chordata; Actinopteri; Syngnathiformes; Syngnathidae. The record is from RefSeq and is a predicted model, not a curated record.
AUUUGUUAGCGUCGAGCUCGUUGUGGUCGCAUGUGUGAUUAAAAAAACUAUAAUUGGAAAUGAAACAAUUUGCCUCCAAAUGACGCCUAAAAGAGGGAAAAAAGGAAAAAAAAAGACCAUGGCAGUAGACUCAUGAUUGUCCCAGUCCACAAGGUGGCGUCCUUGUGUUCCAUUUGCAUCGUGAGUCAGCAGUAUUUCACCAGUUCAUCCUGAGGAGACUUGAGCAUGUGAAAGCUGUGGCUGUCAUCCUCCCUGUGACGCGCUCGUCGCUCGCCCUCGUCUACCUGCCCUUUUCCCCACUCGGUCUUAAGGGACCCAGUGACGCCAACUCUACGGACGGAUGGUAGGACCCGCCAGGAGACAGAAGAGCUGGGGUGCUAGGGUGUAGCUGCUGAUCCUAUACACCACAGCAGAGAGAGCAGGGAGGCAGAGGAGCCACGUCAGGUGUCACCCCUCCGACACCCGACUCGAGGCUGCAGAACCACGACAGCCGGGCUGCCGCCACCACCGCCCCGUCAAGGCCAGUUUUCUGCCUCGCCAGACCGACCAGCCCAUGCAUCUGCCCAGCCGGGCCUUGUCUGCCCUGCCCUGCCCAACAGCUGGCAUCCUGCAGGAGUCAUCAGGGCCGCAUUAAAAAGGCAAAGAUGGAUGUCGACAGUCAUCUUUUAAAGAUUUCCCUUUAUAGACUGACCAAGCUGUCAUUCGAGGAGUGGAAACCAGGGGAAAGCGGGAAGAGUAGACUGCAGCCCCCCAAAGGAGAAGCAAUGAGUUGUAACCGUCCCUCUUCUCCCUAAUGGGAAGAGUAUCUCUCCACCAUUUGAGCACCAUCUGCUGGCUCGGUGGGGCGGGACAGCUGGUGUUGUGAAUCAGGCCGCCACAUUCCAGGGAACGGCUACUUCCCAACACCAGGGUCUCUCCGAUACCACUCCCACGCCUCACUUCAACUGUGCUCCAACACAUGACGGAUGAUUGAUGGACAGUUUCUGGAUUUUGAUAAGAGGAUGCUCAUAAAUGUUAUCUCAUCCAUUGUGAUUAAAUUAUCCAUCCAUUCAUUUUCUGUGGUCCUUGUCCUCAUUAGAGUCAUGGAUGAGCUGGAGCCUAUCCCACCCUGGACUAGUCACCUGUCAAUCAGAGGGCAGAUAUAGGCAAGCAACCAUUCACACCUGUGAACAAUCUAGUCUUCCAACAUGCAUAGUUUUGGAAUGUUGGAGGAUACAGGAAGGAGUACCUGUGAAAAAAACUCCCCACAAAAAAUAUAUAUAUACUUCAUAUGGUUGUAUGCAUUUAUACAAUCUGUAUGGACCAUGCUCCCCUGAUUACCCUUCCCAAAGAAACAUUAGAUUUUGUAAUCUACACAUGGCAUCCAACAGGGUUCUGUUUUUGCACUCUAGCGAUUCGGCCAAUGCAGCUAUAAGUUUCCCCCUAAUUGGAUAGAGAAGACUUCAUUGAGAAUGUAAAAGUGAAUAUGCAACAAAAUUAGAGAUGAUUUGACUGAUCAAUGUGCGACUCACAUAAAACACUAAAUAAUUAAUGGAGCUAAAACAAAAGGUACCUGACAGUCCUGAGGUUCUGGGUUUGAAUCUUGGCUCUGGACUUUCUCUGUGAAAUUUGCAUUUUGUCCCCAUGCUUUCAUGGGUUUUCUCUGGUUGUUUGUCUAAAUGUCCUUUAUGGCGACCAGUCUAGUGUGAACCCACCUCUAACCCAAAGUUAGCUGGGAUAGACUCCACCUCACCUGCAACACUAAUGAGAACAGGCGCUACAGAAAAUGGAUAGAUAACAUAUCAGGCAUCAGCGGAUAUAAACAGAAAUUAUCUAAAAAUUAUUAUUAUCAUAGCUUAUUAUUAUUUCCCUUAGUAAAAUGUUAAACUAAACUCAUGCAUGGAACAACUUGAAACUUCAAAUGUUUAUUACAGAUUACCCACAUCAUCACACAUUUGAAAACAGAGCUGUACUUUCUACUUCUUACUUGUUCCUUUUUUCAACCUUUUCCAACCUCCACGUAUGAUAUGACUUAAAAGAAGAUAUGAAUAGUGUCAAAACAAGAUUGAGAUUUUGAUUGAUUUGAGAUUUUGGGGUUUUAUGAAGUGUGUGUGGGGGAAACAGGUACAGCAGUGAAAUGGAGGAAUGUAAAGCAGAGAGCAUUAAUGAUGAUGGCUCCCCCUUGGCCUUAUUUACAAUUGUUCGAUGUUGUCUACUACAACAAUGAUUCUUGUCGAAUGUGUUGCCUAAACACCACCAGCUUUUGGUGUUAAAAAAAAUCUCUGUCCAACCUAAAAAAACAAGGUGUAUUUUUUUCAGUUAUUAUAUAUGUAAGUUAUUAUAUUUAAGCACCUUUGUCAGUCCACAAGGUUAGCAAAGCUAUGGGAACAGUUUUGAUUGAAUUCUAGCCAACACUUGCCCUCAAGCAAUAUAGGAUAUAUGAUUGUUUUUUCUCAGUAGGAGGAACUAUGGAAAUUAAUAAAAGAGGGAAACUGU